Molecule: long non-coding RNA, 275 nt
Filed under: Lathyrus oleraceus (garden pea)
Lineage: Eukaryota; Viridiplantae; Streptophyta; Magnoliopsida; Fabales; Fabaceae
Description: Pisum sativum (pea) long non-coding RNA (PSAT_LNC002811)
Source: RNAcentral
CUCAUCCAUCAAAUAUGCCUCCCUAGCAUCUCAAUUCAUCAUUUUGAUCAAAGCAAGUCAAAGGGUUUGAGGUCUUGUUCUUCAAGGAAACCCUAAUCCAUCUGUGCACCACAAUGCCUUGCUCAUGAAGCAACCUCAUCCCAUGGUCAAAUACAAUCCAGGGAAGUUCUUUAACUCUUCAUUUCAUACAUGUUUGAACUUAUUUGAGUAUCCUUAAUCAUCAAUUCAUCAAGAUAUGAGGCAUGGACUUGAGAAGUUGAUCAGUCAAUUCAUCU